GAAGGAGGCAGGCUUAGCUA
Molecule: unclassified non-coding RNA, 20 nt
Filed under: Mus musculus (house mouse)
Lineage: Eukaryota; Metazoa; Chordata; Mammalia; Rodentia; Muridae
Description: oocyte_clustered_small_RNA1560
Source: RNAcentral